Non-coding RNA from Caenorhabditis elegans, 132 nucleotides. Lineage: Eukaryota; Metazoa; Nematoda; Chromadorea; Rhabditida; Rhabditidae. The record is from Ensembl.
CGCCUAAUUGUCUGCAUUCAACUUUUCCCCGCGUUGCAAAAAAACACGCCACUGAACUUUUUUUUGGGGGGGGGGGGGGGGGGAAUGGGUAAAAAACGAGACUUUUGCCGACGAUGAGUUUGAGGCAGAGGA